This is a long non-coding RNA of Gasterosteus aculeatus aculeatus (three-spined stickleback), 7387 nucleotides long. The record is from Ensembl. NCBI's taxonomy places the organism in Eukaryota, Metazoa, Chordata, Actinopteri, Perciformes, Gasterosteidae.
GACAACAAACAAAUGUCGAAUUUUGUGCAAGCAAUUUAAGGUCGUGAUUCUCGUCCCAAAGAUGUUCGACUUCAUUCAGUGAUUGAACAACUCCACAGUGCUAGAGCCGCCUCUCUCUCCUCUGUCCUCAUCCUUCUGGACCUCUCUGCUGCAUUUGACACGGUCAACCACCAGAUCCUUAUUUCCUCCCUUCAGGAACUUGGUGUCUCAGGCUCUGCUCUCUCCCUUCUCUCGUCCUACCUCGACGGGCCACACCUACCUGGGGUCGUCGUGGCGCAGGGGUUAGAGAAGGUGUGCUGGGAAGCACAAGGUUGGUGGUUCCAGUCCAGGCUGCCCCAUGCUCCAUGUCGAAGUGUCCCUGAGCAAGACACCUAACCCCUAAUUGCUCCCUGGGCAAAAAUGUGAAAAGCCAUGGGAUUAAAGUGUCGUGUAAGUCGCUUUGGAUAAAAGCGUCUGCUAAAAUGACCUGUAAUGUAAUGUAACCUGGCGAGGUGUCGGAACCUUGUCCUCUUACUACGGGAGUUCCUCAGGGUUCCAUCCUGGGUCUCCUCCUUCUUGCUCUAUACCAGCUCGCAUGGCUCAGCUAUGCCGAUGACACCCAACUAAUUCUCUCCUUCCCUCACUCGUCUGACUGACAUCUCUCAGUGGAUCCGCCCACCAUCUGAAAAUCAACCCCGACAAGACUGAACUACUUCUAUUUCCGGGAAAAGAUUCUCCGACCCAGGACCUGACGGUCAACUUUGGCAACUCCGCGCUAACACCCACUCUGACUGCUAAGAACCUCAGCGUGACACAACAAAUAAUUGGAGUAAUCAAGUCUAGAAGUAACAAAUGCAGAGACAGGAAGUUCCAAAUUAUGGAUAUAAUUUGCAGGUGGAUCAAUUCCAUCCAGAGAAACUAUUUCACUAAACAAUUGAUUUGGGAGGUGCUCUGGGCCUAUCAAGAUAACCUCUGUUUAGUCUGAGUUUAACAUCAGGAAGCAUCAGGUCAUCCAGCUUUUUGUGUCCUUAAAUUCGUGAAGUUUGGCGAGCAGGUUGGUUUUGUCUGGCUUUAUUGAUAGUCCUUUGUCUGACGCAAUUAAUAAAUUGUCAUUUUCACCAGAGCUGUGGCUGUGCUGCGAUGCGCUCCCGACUCUAUAGAGAGGCCGAUAGUUAGCCAACACCUCUGGAAGAAGUUUAAUUACAGCUACCUUGAUCAUCCACUAAAAUGACCUCAUCUGUUUUAAAGACACAACUUGAUAAGAACUAUGAAAAUUCAGAAUACGGACCUGGGGCCAUUUGCAGUGUAUUAUUUUCCAAAAGCAUGGCGGUGAGAAUUCAAACACUCACGAGAGCUACUGCAACAAGCUGCCACUCACACGUCUAACAGAUAUGGAGGAAUUGUUCCUGAAGUGAGCUUUAUUUCGUCCAUUGUUACUGUAACACACCCAAUGAAGCAAACGGCUUUAUGGGGUUGACCUUUGUCUUUGUUCGUAUAAAAAGUCACCAAGUUGUUUCAACAUUUUGAACAGCCCAAUAAAGAACAAUUCACCAGCUGUAAACAUACAACAUCGUUUGCGCCUCGCCCCCCCACACCGGGACAGGAAACCCUCCAUGAAAAAGAGGUUUUGAUAUCUGCUUUGAUUCUUGUAUGUAAGGGUCCAUACCAUGAACAAUGGUGUGACUUUAUGGCUUCUUCUGGUCUCCUUUUUACACAUGGUAUAGGUGGAUCAUUCAAUAGCGUAGCACUUGUCAUUGUGAUUAAAACAUACUGGCACGGAUGAUUGAACCAGAUAUCUUCAAUAAAAUAAUCUUAUGCGCUCAAACGGGUCACAUCGAAAACACAAAAUGCAUAAAGUUCGUAUGUUGAGCUUCUAAAUAGCGUUCAUGACGUUCAUGUGUUGGACAUGUGUUCCUCUUUAGUGUGCGUGUGCAUGUGGGGGAGUGAUGCUCCUCCUCCGAGCUUCAUAACCGAGUGUCGCUGCUGCCGCCGGUCAGUGAGGCGCUGCUGAGCCCGAGGUAAGAACACGCUUCCAUUCUGCACCCGGCACGGCUGCGCCCGUUUCUUUCUUUUACUUUACUUUUCUCUUCAACUCUCAUUCAUUUUUAUUUACUUCCAACCAUCUUUGUAAACCUGCACGUUUAGUAUUUGGUCCUGUUCAUGUUUCAUGCUUGCUUGUAUGUGGAGACGUCUAAUAACCCUGUUACAGCGUCACAUGUGUGUGUGUAAUACUUGGACAUGUACAAAGCAAUAAGAGGUGUAGAUGGAGGUGAUGGAGUACUGCUGUUUGAGGGCUGCGAUCAAAGCUUGUGUCUGAAAGAGACACACACCCCCCACGCACACAUGGGCCUGAAGUGCUUUCUCCUUUGUUGGUGUCAUGAGGUCCACUAAUGAAUAAUGGAUGCUGUGUGUUAUGUGAUCUGGGCCUCAGAGAUGACGACAGGCUGUGUGAGGCCGACCCUGGAGCCUGAACAUGGACCGAUGACACAGGAAGGCAAACGCUGUAAGCACAGUACGUCUCUUUCACAUGAUAAUCAAAUGUUUACAUCUGAUCUCCGUCAGUUUACUGUAAAGAUCCUGUAGUUGUACACAAUGUGUCAGAAAACAGCUGGCUCUGCUAAUUGUAUUUUAAAACUUUGAUGUGAUUUAUUAUGUAGAGAGAGAAUGUAGAAUAGGAGAUGAUAACAAGAACUGUGCCAGUGGGCCUCCAGCAAAGUGCCUGUGACAGAGCCAGUGAUGAGGUGGCGUGACAGGAAAUCAGCUACGCUCAUCAACGGCCUCACAUGGGACACGUCUCCAAUCAGGAGUUCAGCAGCGCUGGUUGCCGGGUCAAACGCCCCCACACUGUCAAUGAGAAGUGGACGUAGUCAUCGGGGGACACCCAUUGGUUUGGGGAGCUGCCGUUUGGCGGUUUGCCCGAAGCCAUCUUGUGUUAAGCGUCUUAAUUUGGAUCGAUGUAGAAAGAGUGAAGGGAGCUUCUCUUGAAGUGCAUUCAGUGCACGUUGACCCUCCCUGAUGCCGUUAUGCUUGUACCCAGGUAUCGGAUCUCCCACUAUAUUUAAUGUCAAUCUGUUCUGCCGACAUCAGGGUGUUUUUUGAGAAAGCGGGACGAUGGCGGUCGUCAUAUUUACUGGUCGGGCCCCGUUCUCACAGAACUGCUCCGGCUGUCCUUGUAGUCGGGUCCUUUUCUCUCUCCACAGAUUUGAAUGCUGUUUGGAGUCUGUGUAAAUGAGCUAUGAACACAAUUAUUAGACAAGUGUGUAUUUAUUGUGUAAAAACCUGAACCCUGCACAGGAGCACAUACAUGUUAAAGAUCAGAAAAGGUUCAAAAGUCAGAGUAGGAAAUCAAACAGCAUCAGCUGCUCCAAACGGUUUCAACCAAAUGCAAGUGCAAUGUUCAUGGUGUGUUUUUGUCUUUGAUGGAGACGCGUGUGGUAGGUGGAAAUGUAACUGUGUGGCUGUGUGACAGAUGAGGCGGGCCUGAUGGACAGGAAGUCUGAGAUGCAGGACGAUAAAGGGGACAAGGAGUGCAAAGAGAAGCAGGCGGACCAGAAGAAACCUCGCAGGAAAGACACGCCCAUCCUCCACUGUCCUCCACAUAUACCAGGUCAGCACACACACACACUUCAUGGAGGUGUUCUGAAACGAUGGCCUUGAAGUCCAAUGUAUAAAUGUUCAUGCAAAGGAUGUGCAUCAAAGAUGGCGUCUGAAACCCUCCACUCGUGGAAGAAGAGGCUUGUGGUUUGAGAGCUUUUAAAGCACUCGGACAAACACUUGUAAGUUACAGUUGAGGAAUGUUUUCAUGCACUUUGGGUAAUCAGUUUCCUUUUUGAUCUCGGUGGAUGAUUUGCUCGUGGUUGACCUGUUGACCUUAAACACGGUGGCUCUUCACCUUGUAGCCAGAACUAAGAAAAUAAAGCUGCUGAUGUAGGAAGUAGUGGUUUGUAGGUUUUUAUGCUGUAGUCAGAUAUCAGCUCUCCAAACAAACAGCACGUACAGUCUGACCUGCUUCUUGGUUUGAAGGUGACCAGCUGCGUUUCCCUCUCCAGGAGUGACGCUGCUGAAAGCACAGAAGCAGAUGGUCCACGUAGAGGACGAGGAGAAAGACGUGAAGGAAUAAAACUUUUAUUUCCCUUUUAUUCUGUCAAUGAAUUGUCACGGUUUGAGUUCAUGUGCAGUUUUAUUUUGUAGUUUCUUGUCUCCCUGGGUAACGUCACUUCCUGCCUUGUCCUGGCUGUCCCCCGUGAUUGACUGUCGUGUCAUGAUUGUUUCCAGCUGUUUCCAAUCACCUGCACCUCCCAAGUGUAUCUAGGUCAUGUGUGUUUGUUGUCACUGGUCGCGUCAUUGUUAGUUGUUCGUUAGCUCAUGUCCAUGUCACAGUUGUUGUGGUUUCUCGACUACGUUUUACCUUCUUGGAAUUUUUGAGUUUUGGAAUUUUUGACUAUUAAAGUCUGGAAAACUCUGCGUCUGAGUCCUACCUUCCCCAACGUACCGUCCAGACAGAAUGACGCGACCAGAAGAGGAGGCCAUCUCGUGGUCGUCCGGCGGCGGAUCGCACUGGGAGCGGGUGAUGGACCUCGCGGUCCGGCUCUAGGCCACCUACGCUCUCCACGCUCGGCCUCAGCGCACGACGUCCAGCGCUGGGCCGCAGCAGCUUCCCAACACGGCCUCCCGACCCAAGCCCAUGACCCCCCCCAGCCGACGCCCCGAUCCAGGCCCACGACUCUGGUACGGACCCCCGAUUCAAUCCCACGACUCCUGUACCGGCUCCCAGAUUCAAUCCCACGACUCCCGUUCCGGCCCCUCCACUAAAGCCCCCUCCCACCUGUCCCGUGGUCCCCUCCCCCCCAUGGCAGGGGUUGGACCGGCGUCCCAGUGCCCAGCCUCCGUGUCCUGCAGCCGGCGACUCCGGAGGCUUUAUGUGCCGCGCAGUCGGCAACGACUCCGGCUUCCCUCGCCGCGCAGCCGGCAACGACGGCUUCCCGUUCCAGUGUCCUGCAGUCGGCGCCCGGGAGCCAGACUCCUGACCGUCCUCCGGGCCGACCCCCGGAGCCCCCCCCGGCAGUCUGACCGCCCGCCGGGCCGCCCGCCAGGGUUCUCUGGUGUCCCUCCCGCCCCUUGUCUGUUCCUUGCCAGGUUAGGGCCAUCUGGAAUUUGGCCCUUGAGGGGGGAGUUCUGUCACGGUUUGGGUUCAUGUCCGGUUUUAUUUUGUAGUUUCUUGCCUCUUGUCUCCCUAGGUCACGUCACUUCCUGCCUCGUCCUGUCGCCAGUGAUUGUCUGUCGCGUCAUGAUUGUUUCCAGCAAUUUCCAAUCACCUACCCCUCCGUGGUAUUAACGCCAUGUGUGUCACGUCAUUGUUAAUUGUGCGGAAGCCCAUGUCCACGUCAUAGUUCCUGUCUCCUGUUCCUCAACUACGUUUUGCCUUUCUGGAAAUUUGAGUUUGGAUUUUUUGACUAUUAAAGUCCCUUUUUGUUUCUGGAAAACUGCGUCUGAGUCCUACCUUUACCUCCUCGCACCUUCCUGACAUGAAUGUUGUUUUAUCUUAGCUUCCUGGACACUAACAGCCACACGGUGCCUCGUGCUCUGUAUUAAAAGUGUUUUGAGAAAACUUCUGUUAUGAUUUGACAGUAUAAGGUUUCGGAUCUUGAGACAUGGAGACUGGUGGGACGAACCACCACCGUCUGGUUUGUCACACAGGUUUUGGUUUCCUCACAGAUGGAGGGGGGGUGCUCCUUUCAUUGAACACAGAGGCCAGGUAAUAAUACCAAGUAGAGAGAAAGCUGCAAUUUCUACAUGAUAGGAGUCGUCAACAUUCGUACUUGUUCCAAUCACGUUAUUAAAAUACUAUGAACAAUUACCAAACAAUGUAUUACUCAGCUGCUCACUAUUGUUCAUAAAAUCUUUCUUUGUCUUAUUCUAUUUCUUCUGUUUUUGGCACUUAAUCUAUUCAGCUCAUUAUAGAGAGACUCCUCCUACCUCUUCUACUUUUUAAAAUAUUCAGCAAUAUAUGGUAUUACAUUUUUCUUUCCAUUGUUUCCGGUUGAAAAAGUCUCAGUCAACACCGGUAUCAUCAAGUAAAAGCAAGUAAAAGUGUUGGUGAUCCACCUUGGAUGUGGACGUUCAUCUUCUCCACCAGAUGAACUGGACAUCAAUGCACAACAUCUUAGAACACAACGUGUGAAAGGGUUACAGGUAUUGGAACUCUGAGACAGAUAUCCAAUCUAAGCAGGGUCAAAACCGGGAUAUCAGUCCAACGGGCAAACAAAUCCAGAGGGGCAGGCAGGGAAUCCGUAAACGAGAAUACAUUGUAAAAUGUAAUUGUUGACCUUACCUAAAAAAUGAGUGCCCUUAACUCAUUUCUGCUUAAUUUGUUGACCAUACUGAAGGAAACUUAGUAAAGUACACUUUCUGCCGCGGAAAGUUAUGAUACUUGUGAUUUCAAGUAACGUUUACUUAACCCGGAGAUACUCGGCUCUAAUACGCAUGCGCACUUGACCACCGGAGACGUGAUUUCCUUUGAGGCGGCUGCUGGAAGCGGGAAGAAAGCGCUGCUCGGUCCAGAAGGUAAGUUUCAGCUAACGUUUGGAGACCCCGACACGUUACAUGAUCAAAUGUUAUACUUACUCGUCCAUUUGACAUAUUAUUCACCUGUUAGUUAACGUUAGUUUUUUGGGGGUUAACUUAAUCUCUUCGAUUUUGAAAGUUAACGUUAGCAGUUAACAUUUAAGCUAUCGUUAGCUUUCAGUGUGAAACCUUCUAGAAUAAAUGUAACGUUAAACAUAAUAACUGUACGUUAGUAACGUUAACUUGCACUGCACUUAUACCACAUCGCGUUUCACUUAGCACUAUUACAUUUGAUGUUAAUGUUAGUUAACCGAAACAUGUAUUAACUUAUUUAACAUCCAACAGGACGGUAGCGGUUAUUAACGUAAUAACGGUUAAACAACGUGGACGCCUAACACGCGUGCACGGUUAUUAAGUACCGCACCGCAUAGCGGGAGUCACGGUAGUCAUUGCGUAAAGACAAAUGUAACGUUAGAAAAACUCUCCAUUUUAAUACUUCUUGAAUAAACCUUUUAAGCUCUCCAUCUUCUUCCAGACAAUUUGUCAAAGGGCAGCAUUAUCCAAAUUUAUGAUUUCAAAAACUUUAGUUGGUUGCACAACAUAUGGAUAGAAAUGCUCAUCAAAGCAUUGAACUUCAAGCACUGUAAUGAGAAAAAUUAACUUCCAAAUGAGUUUAUUUAUGUCAAUCGUGCUGAACAUUUUGGACAGGAGUACAUUUUGGUGUGAGCUAAUUAACAGACUUAGGGCCACUAAGUCGUAGAUGUACUCGAAGAACGAGAACACUGAGCUGAGCGGCAGUGGCGAAUUUAAGAAAUUUGGGGCCCAAGGCAAAGGCAGGAAGGGG